GGAAAUCUCACCAGGCCCGGACACUGGAAGGAUUGACAGAUUGAUAGCUCUUUCUUGAUUCAGUGGGUGGUGGUGCAUCGCCGUUCUUAGUUGGUGGAGUGAUUUGUCUGGUUAAUUCCGUUAACGAACGAGACCUUAACCUGCUAAAUAGUGACGCGGUUCAUCGAACCGUGGGCCACUUCUUAGAGGGACUAUCGGAUUCAAACCGAUGGAAGUGUGAGGCAAUAA
Molecule: ribosomal RNA, 228 nt
Filed under: uncultured eukaryote
Lineage: Eukaryota
Description: partial 18S ribosomal RNA
Rfam family: Eukaryotic small subunit ribosomal RNA
Source: RNAcentral